GUGGACCGCCUAAAAAGUUUGUAUUUUCUAUGAAAUGUAACGCCAGUCAAGAUUAUUUGGCGGCAUUGUAGUUGGUACAUGUACGAGAUGGGACAACAUAAGGGCACUAAAGGAGGAGGGAAGCCCAAGCAAAAAGCAACGAAGCAGCAAAGGCUAAGUGGUAAUGACAGCGCUGGUGCCGUGGGAGAUGCGAUCAAGAACAGUGCAAAGUCACCCAAACCUACACAUAAAGGUGAUGAUGAAAAGUCUCCAAAGAAGGUCAAGUCACCUAAGACUGAACCUGUGGAGUCAGCCAACGGUCCCAGG
This is a long non-coding RNA of Notothenia coriiceps (black rockcod), 306 nucleotides long. RefSeq lists it as uncharacterized. Lineage: Eukaryota; Metazoa; Chordata; Actinopteri; Perciformes; Nototheniidae. The record is from RefSeq and is a predicted model, not a curated record. The transcript has 4 exons.